UGGGGAAUUUUGGACAAUGGGGGAAACCCUGAUCCAGCCAUGCCGCGUGAGUGAAGAAGGCCUUCGGGUUGUAAAGCUCUUUCGGCGGGGAAGAAAUCGCACAGGCUAAUACUCUGUGUGGAUGACGGUACCCGAAUAAGAAGCACCGGCUAACUACGUGCCAGCAGCCGCGGUAAUACGUAGGGUGCGAGCGUUAAUCGGAAUUACUGGGCGUAAAGCGUGCGCAGGCGGUUUGCUAAGACAGGUGUGAAAUCCCCGGGCUUAACCUGGGAAUGGCGCUUGUGACUGGCAGGCUUGAGUACGGCAGAGGGGGGUGGAAUUCCACGUGUAGCAGUGAAAUGCGUAGAGAUGUGGAGGAACACCGAUGGCGAAGGCAGCCCCCUGGGUCGAUACUGACGCUCAUGCACGAAAGCGUGGGGAGCAAACAGGAUUAGAUACCCUGGUAGUCCACGCCCUAAACGAUGUCAACUAGUUGUUGGUAGGGUAAAACCUAUUAGUAACGAAGCUAACGCGUGAAGUUGACCGCCUGGGGAGUACGAUCGCAAGGUUG
RNAcentral lists this ribosomal RNA (550 nucleotides) under uncultured bacterium. Its description in RNAcentral is "bacterial SSU rRNA". It matches the Rfam family "Bacterial small subunit ribosomal RNA", at positions 355 to 896 of the family's 1533-position model. The record is from RNAcentral.